This 253-nucleotide ribosomal RNA is filed under the name uncultured bacterium. RNAcentral describes it as "partial 16S ribosomal RNA". It matches the Rfam family "Bacterial small subunit ribosomal RNA", at positions 524 to 776 of the family's 1533-position model. The record is from RNAcentral.
UACAGAGGGUGCAAGCGUUGUUCGGAAUCUUUGGGCGUAAAGGGCGCGUAGGCGGCCUUGUAAGUCGGAUGUGAAAGCCCAGGGCUCAACCUUGGAAGUGCAUCCGAAACUGCGAGGCUCGAAUCUCGGAGAGGGUGGUGGAAUUCCCAGUGUAGAGGUGAAAUUCGUAGAUAUUGGGAGGAACACCGGUGGCGAAGGCGACCACCUGGACGAAGAUUGACGCUGAGGCGCGAAAGCGUGGGGAGCAAACAGG